This 492-nucleotide ribosomal RNA is filed under the name uncultured bacterium. RNAcentral describes it as "partial 16S ribosomal RNA". It matches the Rfam family "Bacterial small subunit ribosomal RNA", at positions 29 to 507 of the family's 1533-position model. The record is from RNAcentral.
AGUGAACGCUGGCGGUAGGCCUAACACAUGCAAGUCGAACGGCAGCACAGUAAGAGCUUGCUCUUACGGGUGGCGAGUGGCGGACGGGUGAGGAAUACAUCGGAAUCUACUUUUUCGUGGGGGAUAACGUAGGGAAACUUACGCUAAUACCGCAUACGACCUACGGGUGAAAGCAGUGGAUCUUCGGACCUUGCGCGAUUGAAUGAGCCGAUGUCGGAUUAGCUAGUUGGCGGGGUAAAGGCCCACCAAGGCGACGAUCCGUAGCUGGUCUGAGAGGAUGAUCAGCCACACUGGAACUGAGACACGGUCCAGACACCUACGGGAGGCAGCAGUGGGGAAUAUUGGACAAUGGGCGAAAGCAUGAUCCAGCCAUACCGCGUGGGUGAAGAAGGACUUCGGGUUGUAAAGCCCUUUUGUUGGGAAAGAAAAGCAGCAGGUUAAUACCCCGCUGUUAUGACGGUACCCAAAGAAUAAGCACCGGCUAACUUCGUG